RNAcentral lists this unclassified non-coding RNA (1087 nucleotides) under Hevea brasiliensis (rubber tree). Lineage: Eukaryota; Viridiplantae; Streptophyta; Magnoliopsida; Malpighiales; Euphorbiaceae. The record is from RNAcentral.
UGUCCCAUGCUAAAGCAGCUAAUGUACCAAUUGUAGUUGCAAUUAAUAAAUGUGACAAACCUGCAGCCAAUCCUGAGAGAGUUAAAAUCCAGCUUGCAUCGGAGGGCUUGCAGCUGGAGGAGAUGGGUGGGGAUGUUCAAGUUGUUGAAGUGUCAGCUGUUAAAAAUACUGGAUUGGAUGAUUUGGAGGAGGCUUUACUUCUUCAGGCGGAGAUUAUGGACCUAAAAGCGCGUGUUGAUGGCCCUGCUCAAGCUUAUGUAGUAGAGGCUAGACUUGACAAAGGACGUGGUCCAUUGGUUACUGCAAUAGUGAAAGCAGGGACUUUGGUUUGUGGACAGCAUGUGGUUGUGGGUUCUGAGUGGGGCAGAAUAAGAGCUAUUAGGGACAUGGUAGGGAAGUUAACUGAUAGGGCUAAACCAGCAAUGCCGAUUGAGAUUGAGGGGCUUAAGGGGCUUCCUAUGGCUGGUGAUGAUAUUGUUGUUGUGGAAUCUGAAGAGCGAGCUAGGAUGCUUAGUGCAGGGAGGAAAAGGAAAUUUGAGAAAGAUAGACUUAUGCAGAUGAUUGAUGAAACGACGGAAACCACAGAAGCAUCAGAUGACAUGCCUGUGCCUGAGAGGAUUGAAAUGCCAAUAAUUGUAAAAGCAGAUGUGCAGGGAACUGUCCAGGCUGUAACAGAUGCACUAAAGACUUUAAAUAGUCCCCAGGUUUUUGUGAAUGUAGUCCAUGUUGGUGUUGGGCCUAUUUCUCAGUCUGAUGUGGACUUGGCACAAGCCUGUGGUGCUUGUAUAGUUGGAUUCAAUGUGAAGACUCCACCUAGCUCUGUUAGUUUGGCUGCAACUCAAGCCAGGAUAAAGAUAAUGCAACACCGUGUGAUCUAUCACCUUUUGGAGGAAGCUGGCAAAUUAAUAGUGGAAAAGGCCCCUGGAACUUUUGAGACCCAGGUAGCUGGGGAGGCUGAAGUGCUGAAUAUCUUUGAGCUCAAGGGGAGGAGCAAGUCUGUAGGAGCUGAUGUGACGAUUGCUGGCUGCAGGGUGAUAGAUGGCCAUGUUACCAAAUCAGCAAUCAUGAGGCUUCUAAGGAGUGGGGA